RNAcentral lists this ribosomal RNA (447 nucleotides) under uncultured bacterium. Its description in RNAcentral is "SSU rRNA". It matches the Rfam family "Bacterial small subunit ribosomal RNA", at positions 26 to 518 of the family's 1533-position model. The record is from RNAcentral.
AGAACGAACGCUGGCGGCAGGCCUAAUACAUGCAAGUCGAACGCACUCUUCGGAGUGAGUGGCAGACGGGUGAGUAACGCGUGGGAACCUUCCCAAUGGUACGGAAUAACUCCGGGAAACCGGUGCUAAUACCGUAUAAGCCCCUCGGGGGAAAGAUUUAUCGCCAUUGGAUGGGCCCGCGUCGGAUUAGCUAGUUGGUAAGGUAAUGGCUUACCAAGGCUACGAUCCGUAGCUGGUCUGAGAGGAUGAUCAGCCACACUGGGACUGAGACACGGCCCAGACUCCUACGGGAGGCAGCAGUAGGGAAUCUUGGACAAUGGGCGAAAGCCUGAUCCAGCCAUGCCGCGUGAGUGAAGAAGGCCUUAGGGUUGUAAAGCUCGUUUUGGCGGGGACGAUAAUGACGGUACCCGCAGAAUAAGCCCCGGCUAACUUCGUGCCAGCAGCCGC